This 328-nucleotide ribosomal RNA is filed under the name uncultured eukaryote. RNAcentral describes it as "partial 18S ribosomal RNA". It matches the Rfam family "Eukaryotic small subunit ribosomal RNA", at positions 1470 to 1796 of the family's 1831-position model. The record is from RNAcentral.
CCCUUAGAUGUCCUGGGCCGCACGCGCGUUACACUGAUGCAUUCAACGAGCUUAUAACCUUGGCCGAGAGGCCUGGGCAAUCUUGUUAACGUGCAUCGUGAUAGGGAUAGAUUAUUGAAAUUAUUAAUCUUGAACGAGGAAUUCCUAGUAAACGCAGAUCAUCAAUCUGCAUUGAUUACGUCCCUGCCCUUUGUACACACCGCCCGUCGCACCUACCGAUUGGAUGGUCCGGUGAAGCCUCGGGAUUGUGGUUCUUGCCGCUUUAUCGUAGCGUGACCGCGAGAACUUGUCUAAACCUUAUCAUCUAGAGGAAGGUGAAGUCGUAACA